Molecule: non-coding RNA, 28 nt
Filed under: Rattus norvegicus (Norway rat)
Lineage: Eukaryota; Metazoa; Chordata; Mammalia; Rodentia; Muridae
Source: RNAcentral
UACCAUAAUGCUGAUAGUGUGGUAGCCU